UACAAAGGGAGCUAGCGUUGUUCGGAAUCACUGGGCGUAAAGCGCACGUAGGCGGCUCUUUAAGUCGGGGGUGAAAUCCUGGAGCUCAACUCCAGAACUGCCUUCGAUACUGAAGAGCUUGAGUCCGGGAGAGGUGAGUGGAACUGCGAGUGUAGAGGUGAAAUUCGUAGAUAUUCGCAAGAACACCAGUGGCGAAGGCGGCUCACUGGCCCGGUACUGACGCUGAGGUGCGAAAGCGUGGGGAGCAAACAGG
Molecule: ribosomal RNA, 253 nt
Filed under: uncultured bacterium
Lineage: Bacteria
Description: partial 16S ribosomal RNA
Rfam family: Bacterial small subunit ribosomal RNA
Source: RNAcentral